CACGUAGGGUGCGAGCGUUGUCCGGAAUUACUGGGCGUAAAGGGCUCGUAGGUGGCCAACUAAGUCGGACGUGAAAUCCCUCAGCUUAACUGGGGAACUGCGUCCGAUACUGGAUGGCUUGAGUUUGGGAGAGGGAUGCGGAAUUCCAGGUGUAGCGGUGAAAUGCGUAGAUAUCUGGAGGAACACCGGUGGCGAAGGCGGCAUCCUGGACCAACACUGACACUGAGGAGCGAAAGCCAGGGGAGCAAACGGG
This 253-nucleotide ribosomal RNA is filed under the name uncultured bacterium. Its description in RNAcentral is "partial 16S ribosomal RNA". It matches the Rfam family "Bacterial small subunit ribosomal RNA", at positions 524 to 776 of the family's 1533-position model. The record is from RNAcentral.